CCUUGCAGCGGCACCACAUCAACUUGGUCAGGACAUGGCGAAAGCAGCA
RNAcentral lists this non-coding RNA (49 nucleotides) under Scrippsiella trochoidea. The record is from RNAcentral. Lineage: Eukaryota; Dinophyceae; Peridiniales; Peridiniaceae.